ACCGACUGAGCCACCCAGGCGCCCCAUGCUUUUCUAGAUUUCUGAGAAGUCUUCCCUGACUACUCUUCCACCUUCACUAGGCUCUAGACGUUCAAGGCCAUCUAUACACUUCUUCACAGCACUGGCCCUCAUCCUGUAAUUACGUAUCUGUGUGAUUAUUUCACGAAUGUCCGUCUCUGUGUUAGACUCCUGUGCAUGAGGUUAGGGACCAUCUCUGUUUUGUUCAGCAUUCUGUCCCCGGCUUCUACCUGGCACAUAGUGUGUGCUCAAUCAACAUUUGCUAAAUGUGGACGAAUCUCUUAUAUAAUGUUUGCUCUAGUUAACUGAGGGCAUAUCACUGUUCCUUCCUGUGAUGGUUAAUUUCAUGUGUCAGCUGGACAGAGCUUAGGGAUGCCCAGAUAGCUGGUAAAACAUUAUUUCUGGGUGUGUCUAUGAGGGUGUUUCUAGAAGAAAUUAACAUUUGAAACAGCGGACUGAGUAAAGAUGAUCCCUCUCACCAAGGCGGGUGGGCAUCAUCCAGUGCAUUGAGGGCCUGAAUAGAACAAAAAGGUGCAGGAAGGGCCAAUUCGCUCUCUGCUUGAGCUGGGACAUCCACGUCUCCUGCCCGUGGACUUUGGCACUCCUGGUUCUCAGGCCUUGGACUGGACUGGGACUUAGAUCAUCAGCCCCUUGAUCCUCAGGCCUUCAGAUUCAGACUGAAUUACUCCACCAGCUUUCCUGGUUCUCCAGCCUGCAGAUGGCAGAUUGUGGCACUUCUUGGCCUCCAUAAUCAUGUUUGACUUAGGGAAGACUGGCGUGAUGUCCACAGUCAUUUGAUUGGCUGGAUUUGCAAGACUAGCCUUCCAUUUGCCUCCACCUCUUUAAGGACAUUUUCUUCCACUUGGGCUAUAUUGCCAAAAAGUUUGAAGAGUUUCUUCAACUGAUUCUGAGGGUUUACCUUUGAUAUUUUAUGUCAAAAUUAGGGGACACACAGAGUCCUCCUUUUCAGCUGUCUUCCUACGUGUUGAACAAUCUGCUCAUUUUCUUCUCCUCCAACUCCUCUGUAUAAUGAAGAAAUGACCUCUCCAUCCACAGGGAUGUGGCAGAUAUGACGCAUGCAUUCAGGUCAGCAGUGCAAAUCUCCGACACGGCCAUUUUUCUCAUCGGGAAAAUGUUUGUCAGCCCCUUGACCAACUUAUUUGGAGAUCUUGGCAACGAAGGGGCUGUUAAGCAAAUGGCACAGAAACCUCUGCUUCUCUUUGAAAGAGACUGCUUUUGAAGGGACAUGAAACUGCAAAAAUACCGGCUUGUAUUAGAAUAUAAAUUCACGUUAAAUGUGUUUUCAGGAAAAGACGAAAAUUGAAGAGAAACCUGAAGUCAUUUCAAGACUGAUGCUGAGCUAUCCUAUCACUCAUUUCCCUGGAACUUAGGCUGAUGAGACAAAGUAUCUCUUCCAUUGUCACAAUUUUCUCUAGGUUAUUUCUGAAAAGCUUUACUCUGGCUUCAGGGAUGGGAAAACAGCAACAACAAAACCUUGUUCUCUCCAUGUCACUAAGCCAAAAAUUCAAUCUCAAGUUGUUUACAUUCUCAAUUUCCUUAAAAUAUUGGGAUCAUAUAUAGUUCUUUAUUCUGCAUAUUUUCACUUAUUAUAUCAGGGACGUUCCCCAAGUUCUUAAACCCUCUUCUAAAAUACUUUAAUAGCUUUGAAAUAUUCUUUCAGUUGAGUGUACCAUUAUUUGUUUAACCAGUCCUCUAUUUUUGGGCAUACAGUUAUUUUUUGUAAUUUUUUACCACUAAAUAAUGCUGUCAUAAUAAUGCCAAAUAAUAUCCAUAUAUAUAUGUAUUUUUUUCUUUCAUCUCAUCUCUGAUCAUGUUGUUAACAUAAAUUUCCUUAAGUAUAAUUGCUGGGCCAAGGGAUAGGAGCACCUUUGAGGACUUCUCUCCACAGACUGCUAAAUUGUUCUAUGCCUAUUUCCCACGUGUAAAAUGUUUGGUGACACUGCUUGAAGGUUUCUAUGAGAAAACCCAUUAUCAAAUUGACUGGAAGCAGCAAUUUCUGUUAUCAAAGUAAAUCUAUUGUUAUCAUUA
Long non-coding RNA from Mirounga angustirostris (Northern elephant seal), 2067 nucleotides. RefSeq lists it as uncharacterized. The transcript has 4 exons. NCBI's taxonomy places the organism in Eukaryota, Metazoa, Chordata, Mammalia, Carnivora, Phocidae. The record is from RefSeq and is a predicted model, not a curated record.